GAUGAACGCUGGCGGCGUGCCUAAUACAUGCAAGUCGAGCGAACAGACGAGGAGCUUGCUCCUCUGACGUUAGCGGCGGAUGGGUGAGUAACACGUGGAUAACCUACCUAUAAGACUGGGAUAACUUCGGGAAACCGGAGCUAAUACCGGAUAAUAUUUUGAACCGCAUGGUUCAAUAGUGAAAGACGGUUUUGCUGUCACUUAUAGAUGGAUCCGCGCUGCAUUAGCUAGUUGGUAAGGUAACGGCUUACCAAGGCGACGAUGCGUAGCCGACCUGAGAGGGUGAUCGGCCACACUGGAACUGAGACACGGUCCAGACUCCUACGGGAGGCAGCAGUAGGGAAUCUUCCGCAAUGGGCGAAAGCCUGACGGAGCAACGCCGCGUGAGUGAUGAAGGUCUUCGGAUCGUAAAACUCUGUUAUUAGGGAAGAACAAAUGUGUAAGUAACUAUGCACAUCUUGACGGUACCUAAUCAGAAAGCCACGGCUAACUACGUG
This 497-nucleotide ribosomal RNA is filed under the name uncultured bacterium. Its description in RNAcentral is "partial 16S ribosomal RNA". It matches the Rfam family "Bacterial small subunit ribosomal RNA", at positions 28 to 507 of the family's 1533-position model. The record is from RNAcentral.